RNAcentral lists this long non-coding RNA (215 nucleotides) under Mytilus galloprovincialis (Mediterranean mussel). Lineage: Eukaryota; Metazoa; Mollusca; Bivalvia; Mytilida; Mytilidae. The record is from RNAcentral.
CAGAGCUUUGCAUGAGGGAGAUACAUUCCUUAAUUUAUAAUAAUUUCUAUCAUUUUGUAACAGUAAAUUUUAAUAACACAAAAAAUCCGUAUUUUCAUGCCAGUACCGAAGUACUGGCUACUGGGGUGGUGAUACCUUCGGGGACUAAUAGUCCACCAGCAGAGGCAUCGACCCAGUGGUAGUAAUAAAAUUAACGGUACUAAUUUUCUUGCACC